RNAcentral lists this long non-coding RNA (237 nucleotides) under Elaeis guineensis (African oil palm). Its description in RNAcentral is "long non-coding RNA (EGUI_LNC041286)". Lineage: Eukaryota; Viridiplantae; Streptophyta; Magnoliopsida; Arecales; Arecaceae. The record is from RNAcentral.
CUCCAUUACGAACAAUACCAUUCAAUCUGCCACUCUGUUUGCCUUCCAACCACAAACAAGUUCAUUCACUUAUCAUUAAAUAAAUAAAUAAAUAUCUUAUUUUUUGGAUCACCAAAUUACAUUUGGAAGGAAUUUAAUAGAAUAAUAAAUUUUAGAUCAUAAAGAAUAUAUUUUCCAAUAAGCAUGAACAACCAACAAUAUCUCGAGAUACAAAAAUAAUCGUUCUCAAUCCCAUCG